RNAcentral lists this transfer RNA (76 nucleotides) under uncultured Gemmatimonadota bacterium. RNAcentral's name for it is "uncultured Gemmatimonadetes bacterium tRNA-Lys-TTT". It matches the Rfam family "tRNA". Rfam says of the family: Transfer RNA (tRNA) molecules are approximately 80 nucleotides in length. Lineage: Bacteria; Pseudomonadati; Gemmatimonadota. The record is from RNAcentral.
GGGCUGGUAGCUCAGUUGGUAGAGCACGCGACUUUUAAUCGCUAGGUCGUGGGUUCGAGUCCCACCCGGCCCACCU